This 253-nucleotide ribosomal RNA is filed under the name uncultured bacterium. Its description in RNAcentral is "partial 16S ribosomal RNA". It matches the Rfam family "Bacterial small subunit ribosomal RNA", at positions 524 to 776 of the family's 1533-position model. The record is from RNAcentral.
UACGUAUGGGGCUAGCGUUGUCCGGAAUCAUUGGGCGUAAAGCGCGUGUAGGCGGUCCGGUAAGUCCGCUGUGAAAGUCGGGGGCUCAACCCUCGGAUGCCGGUGGAUACUGUCCGGCUUGAGUACGGAAGAGGCGAGUGGAAUUCCUGGUGUAGCGGUGAAAUGCGCAGAUAUCAGGAGGAACACCAAUUGCGAAGGCAGCUCGCUGGGACGUUACUGACGCUGAGACGCGAAAGCGUGGGGAGCAAACAGG